RNAcentral lists this ribosomal RNA (405 nucleotides) under uncultured bacterium. Its description in RNAcentral is "partial 16S ribosomal RNA". It matches the Rfam family "Bacterial small subunit ribosomal RNA", at positions 28 to 526 of the family's 1533-position model. The record is from RNAcentral.
GACGAACGCUGGCGGCGUGCUUAACACAUGCAAGUCGAGCGGAGCGGCGAACGGGUGAGGAACGCGUGAGUAACUGCCCCCCUCUCUGGGAUAACAGUUGGAAACGGCUGCUAAUAGCAGAUAGUGGGGGAUGACUCGCGUCCUAUCAGCUUGUUGGUGGGGGAUGGGCAUACCAAGGGGACGAGGGUUAGCCGGCCUGAGGGGGCGACCGGCCACAUUGUGCUGAGAUACGGCCCAGACUCCAACGGGAGGCAGCGGUGGGGAAUAUUGCCCAAUGGGGGACACCCUGAUACAGAAACGCCGCGUGCGGGAUGACGGCCUUCGGGUUGUAAACCGCUUUCAGCCAUGACGCGGUAGUGGCAGAAGAAGCACCGGCUAACUACGUGCCAGCCGCCGCGGUAAUAC